GGCUGGGUAGCUCAGUUGGUAGAGCGUUCGACUGAAAAUCGAGAGGUCCAGGGAUCGACGCCCUGUCCAGCCA
RNAcentral lists this transfer RNA (73 nucleotides) under Frondihabitans australicus. It matches the Rfam family "tRNA". From Rfam's summary of the family: Transfer RNA (tRNA) molecules are approximately 80 nucleotides in length. Lineage: Bacteria; Bacillati; Actinomycetota; Actinomycetes; Micrococcales; Microbacteriaceae. RNAcentral also lists the same sequence under 1 other name. The record is from Rfam by way of RNAcentral.